Molecule: long non-coding RNA, 12872 nt
Filed under: Cucumis sativus (cucumber)
Lineage: Eukaryota; Viridiplantae; Streptophyta; Magnoliopsida; Cucurbitales; Cucurbitaceae
Description: long non-coding RNA (CSAT_LNC002510)
Source: RNAcentral
UUUUUUUUUUUUUUUUUUGUUAAAUUAUUUCAUUAAAAUAUGUAAAUAUAUUAUAUAUUUUAGGAAUAUAUAUUGUAAAAUAGAACACUUCCAGAAAUCAAUUUGUAGCAGUUGAGAUAAUUAUUGAUUGUUUAAAAUAGAAGUAAUUUAUAAUUUGAUUCAUACCACUGAUUGUUUUCUUUUGUGAGAGUGACGUGGAUUACAUUUGGCCUAAGGAGUGAGCAGUGAUAGAGCAAAUGAGAAAACCAAUCCGAUUUGGAGACAGCAAGGAUUGUAAAUGUCACCACGCUAUACGUGUUUAUUUGUUGUUUUUUCUUUUUAUAAACAUUUAACUUCAUCAGAACAUUAAACCAAGAAAAUACAUUAAGUCCAACGAAUUUAGGAGGAAAAAAAAUAACAAUGUAUGUUUGAGUUUCAAGAAUAAUUAUCUAUGCUAACCAAACAAACCCUACAUAUGUGAAGUAAUCAAAUUUAGGGUCAUUUUCUUAAAUGGAAAAGAAUGUUGGUUGAAAAGUAAAAAUCCAAUUUGAAAAAGAGAAAUAGUUAUAGAUUAGUUCAUUUUCAAUUGAUGUGAAAUAAUACGAUUUAUGGAAUUAAAAUUACGUAGCCAAUAACCUUGAACGAAGCGUCACAUAGUAGUUAUCUAAACAAUUAUAUUAUUUGACAAAAAGGUUGAUAAUUCGAAUUCUUACCUGUAAAUAAAUUUUUUAUUGAUUAUUAUGUCACGUGUUAAUAAAUUAAAAUAUAUAGAUAUAAUUAUUUAGAAGAUAUGAGGUAAAAACAUACAUUUCGCUCAACCGUGCCUACGACUAUAGUAAAAAGAAAAUGAAACUUAAACCAUUUUAUCCUGCUACAUAAUAUCUCAAAAUGUAAAUUUUUGUAAGCUUGUCUCAUACAAAAUGGUAUCAAAACCUUAUAUCUAAUUACAAAAUAUACUUUUCGUCCAUAUAAAACUUAUUAUACAUUAUUAGUUUAGUUUUAGUCAAACUAAUAGAAAGAUGAUGGGGGAGGGGGGAGUUAAUGAAUUUAUUUGGUUGGCAAAUAAAAAUGUAUCAAUUUAACAUUAUUUCAAAUGAAUAUUUUCUUCUUGUGUUCAGAUAUUGUUAUUAGUAAACGUAUGUCGAAAGAUCUUGCUACAAGCUAUAACCUUGGUUGUUCGAUCUGUUAUAAUAAGGGAGAGGAAGAGGAAGAUUGUGAAAGAAGUCAAUCAAAGAGGGGAUAAUUGUUCACAUCCACGUAGGAAUUACAAAGGCUUGGGAGAUUCUAAGUCACUUAAAGUUGAUUUAGAACAACCAUUUCAAACAUGGAUUGUUCAUUCCUAUAUAGAACGAGAUAUGGAAUGACUUUAGUCCAUACGACUCUUUUGAAGAUCUCUCAUCGACAUAUGUAAUGAAGCUAAAUAGAGCGAGUGAAUAUAUAUAACACAAAUAAAGAAAGUAAUUUUGAAGAGAUGAAACAAGACACGUCUCUUAUGUAGUUAAGAUAUCAACUAAAUAUUAUUAAAUUGGUAUAUUUGUCUACUCAACAAGACAUAUUCAAUAAGCUCUGUAACUUGAAACAUAUAUGUGUUUGGAAUCUCUAUCCUUUUUCUCUUUGUUUUCUUUUUCUUUUUCUGAGAUACACAUAUUAUUCCAAACCAAUCAACCAAAUUGAUCAGUUUCAAAAAAGAAAAAAAAAAAAAAAAGGAAAGAUCUUGUUGGAUUAAUUUGUCCCCAAACAUAGAACCUUUGUGGGCUAAAGUUAGUGGGAAGAAAUGGCCAAAGAAAAAAAAUGCAAGGAGAAACAGCUUAUGCAGUGGGUAUGGAGAAGGAGACCAAGAAUAAUAAUAUUGAUAUUAAUAUCAAUAAUAAUAAUCCAACCAUAUAAAACCUCCGAUGAAUGAAAUCAAAAACAGUUGAAGGCCAGCCCCCAGCACCUUCCAAGUUAACACAACACCCAAAAAAGCAUAUAUAAAUCUAUUUAUUUUUCAUUAAAUAGUCUUGAUCAUACUUUUUAAGAAAGCUAAUUAAUGACUCAAAUUCAAACUAAUUAUUUUAUUUACUAAUAAGUAUAUCUUGUUUAUUAAUUAUAUUAUGUGAUUAUUGGUAAUGGUUGAUGGGAACAAGUUGGUUGGUCUUUUCAAGGGUCAAUUAUUAUAUGCAUGCUGAGAAAAGAAGUGAAUGGAUUGGUAUAUUCCAUUGGCACUCCUCCUCAUAAAAUUAGUGUAGACAAAUCAGUAAGCAAUGGCUCUCUCUUUCUUUCUUCUUUUAGUAGAAAUAUAUAUCUUAAUAAAUUGAAAAGACAUUAGAUUGAAACACACUAUAAGAUAUCUAUUUAAUUUAACAUAGUUACACAUAAAAUCAUGUUAUAUUACACAUUUACAGUGAGAAUUGGAGAAUGCAUAAACAACAAAAGAACAUCAAAUCUUGCCCCCUCUACCAAUAAUCUUUGCAAGAACAACUCCCAUCUCUAAAAUGAUGGAAUCGAACUCUAUCACGCAUUAUGAUCUCUCUAGAAUAGAUUUGAGAUACGAGCUUUGCUACAGUGUGACAAUCUCUACAGAUUCUAAGAUUCUUAAUAACUCGAAUUGUCGUACCUGGUUUCGUAUUGAUCAAUCCAAAAGCAAUAGCUAACUUCUCGCUAUGUUGUGCCAUUGCAGUCUCUUUCUCCUCAUUCUCAAGAUCAAGCAACAAAUCUUUAGUGGCAGGUUCAUAACUGUUAAAAGAUGAGAAUUAACAAAACAUAAGAUAUAUAUAUAUAUAUACACGGUAACUUAUCUGCUGAAGUUUUUGGAUUUAAAGGUGAUUUAGAAGUACCCUUCGUCUUGUCGUAGUCUCUCUGCAAUCUGUUUCAGUUUCAAUUGAAUCUGCUCCAUCUGUGGAUGAUCUUGAUGUCCAGCAAGAAAUUCAUGAACAAUGCCAUUCAAAGUUACUGAACUCUUUCCUGGGGAAAUUGGGACUCCCAGACUCUUCAUCUUCAACCUCACUUCAGCUGCUUCUUUCCAUUUACCUUCUGCAGCUAAAAUUGUAGCCAGCUGAAUGUACCGCCCGCUGUGAUCUGAAUCGACUUCCACCAGGUGAGCUCCGACUUGGCUACCCAGCAGAAAAUCUCUAUGAAUCCAACAGGCCUGAACGAGGAGGAAUGAAUGGUAAGCUUAUGUAGAUCAUCAACUUUUCUCUUUCAUUGAAAACAUGAUUUAGUGCAUUCUAUUUAAGAAGUCGCACUUUAUUUACUUACAUUUUAAUAUCUUAACUAUACUCUUUCGGUUUAUGGCUGUUAAAUUUGGGUUACCGUAAGCCUAUUAUCUAGCAUGAUACUCAUUACUCAGUGAGUGUUCACUAAAAUUUAAGAGAAUAAGGUCACUGGAUUGAUGAAAAAAAAAAAUAGUCUCUCUUCUAAAUUUCUAAGAAAAGUCUUUAAUGAAGUUGGCAGAAAUUCAACCUUUUUCUUCUAGAUGAAGAUUUUUUCUCUCCUAUGUGCAAAUUCCUAGCAACUCACUGAUUUUCCCAUGAUUUAGAAAAGUAGGCAUAUAAAAUUUCCCCCUACCUUUAGCAAAGCUCCCCAAAUUACAGCACUAGGUUUCAUGGGCAUCUUCUUGAUCAACUCUUUCGCUUCAUCCAGCCGCCCAGAUCGACCCAAAAGAUCAACCAUACAUCCAUAAUGCUCAAUAGAUGGAUUCACGUUGUAGAAACAUUUCAUGCUCUUGAAUAACUCUUUUCCUUCUUCAACUAGUCCUCCAUAGCUACAAGCCCUUAGAACUGCAGUGAAAGUGAUGGAAUUUGGCCUUAUUCCUUCUCUUCGCAUUCGGUUAAACCAUUCCAGAGCUUCCACUCCACGCCCAUGAAUGGCAAAGCCAUCAAUCAUAGCCGUCCAAAUAUACACAUCUUUCUGGUUACCCUUCAGUUUCCCAAACACACUCAAGGCUUCUUCCAUAUCCCCACAUUUUACGUACAUAUUGACAAGAGCACAGCCAAUUACUCGAUCAACGUCGACUCCAUUGUUGAGCACAUAGAAAUGGAGCCAUCUUCCUUGAUCCAACGCUCCAAGAUUCGCACAAGCAGUGAGCAAACUCGCAAUAGCAACACCAUCAAGUUCAAAUCCUGCAUUCUGCAUCUCAUAACAAAGACUCAAAGCUUCUACGCUCUGUCCUGCCUCAACAAGCCCCGAAAUCAAAGACGUCCACGAAACCACAUUCUUCAAUGGCAUGUCCAAGAAAACCCCAUAAGCCGUUUUUACAUCCCCAGAUUUGAUAUACCCAUCAAUCAUUAUGUUCCAAGAAACAGCAUCUCUUUCAGGAAUGUUGUCAAACAGUUGGCGUGCACAAUGAAUCUCACCACACAAGGCAUAAACAUGAAGCAGAGCAUUCAAUGCAAAAACAUCCGACCCAAAUCCCAGUUUGAUAACCAGUCCAUGAACUUGAAGUGCCUCACCCAUGGCCAACAAAUUACGACAAGCUCUAAGCAAGAAAGGGAAGGUGUAGGAAUUAUGCGGUACCGAAGAAGAAAGCAUUUGCUGAUACGAGAGAAAUGCUAAUUCUGGUUCGUCACUGUUAGAAUAGGCUCUUAUAAUGGCAUUCCACAUGAAAGUGUUGGGGCUGGUAAUUCCAUUGAAUACCCUUUGAGCGUAAAGCAAAUCGCCGACAUGGGGUGAAGUGCAGAGAGUUAGAAACUUUGUAGCUAAUUUGGGUUCUGUGAUGAUGGCUGUUUUGAUCAUUUGAGCUUGAAUUUGUUUCAAUUGCUUCAUGUUUGAGCAGUUCUCGAGCAGAGCCCAUGUUGAUUGUAAUGGAGAUUCUGCGUUUAGAGUGAACAUCUGGUUUCUUAUGAACUAUCCAAAUAUUUGGGAUAUGUUCAUCUUGGAGAUUCUUAAUUGGAUUAUGAUCAUCCACUUUGUCUUGUUUGUGUGUGGCCAACACUUGUUCAACCAAAUAUCAUUUCGUUUUAGAAUUGAACUAAUACGCUUGAAUGAGAUUAGGAGAUGAUUAUAAUCAUUUUUAUCUCCUUAUUAUUGUUACUAUUAUUUUUUUCUUCUUCUUUUUUGGAAAAUUUUGUAAAGUAAUCCAAAAGGUAAUUUUGUUUUUCAUCAUUUACCUUCUUACUCUUGUCUAUUCAACUCUACCCAAUUUAAUUUUUACUUUUUUUUUCUCUCCAACCAACUUCUUUAAGUAUUUAUUCUCAAUCAACUAAUCUUGUAUCAACAAUGGAACGAGAAAAGUUCCUCUCAAACAUUUUUUCUCAUUUUAUACUCUUCAUUGAAAAAUUAUUCUCCAAGGAAACUCUCUCGAAUAUUUGAAGUUGGUCCUUUGAUUUCUUUAUCGCUUUCAUGACAUCUACUCAUAUCCAUCAUUAGAAACAAACGAUCAAACUAUUAGUGCGAGCUGUUUUUUUUUCUCCGUUUUUUUCUACAUGAUUGUGUAUUAAAGCUCAAACGAUUGAUUAGUUAUUUAUACAAUAUCGCGUAUCGAAGCCUAAACGAUCAGUAAGAAAGACUAAACGACUGUUUGAAUAUUCAUACACAAUCAUGUAACAAACUCCAAGUGAUUGCUUAUAUAGUGUUAAACGAUCAUGUAUGAAGAACUAAACACUAGUUUAGUUUUUUACUUUAGUUUGAAUUACUUUCAAUCGUUUUGGUGUAAGGUUCAAAUGUUGUGUAACAUCAAUUGUCAUGAUUUGAAUAUUUGUAUAAUUUGAAAGAGAAUAGAAUCAGUCAUUUAAAAAUAUGUGAGGGGUCAGACGAAAGAAUUGAAGGUUAGGCAUGAUAUUACCUAUUUCAAAUUUGUGAGUUAUUUGCAUAAAAAAAAUGAACAUUGAUUUGAAUAUGUUUGUUAUACUAUCAAGUGUUGUCACAAGCUAAAUGUUUCAACCCCUCCACCACAUAUAAAGGACAUUUGAUUAAGAUAAUUUUACAUGAGGACAUUUUUCGAAAUGAACGGUUAAAGUACAUAAAAAUUAGUUCGACAAAAAUACAUAUGAAGUUCAAAGGGAAUAAGAAAAGUGUAAAAGUAAGAUGAACAUUGAAAGAAGCAUCAAAGAGGAUAAAAGAUGAUUGAGAUUCAACCUUAUUUUACAUUACAACCGUAAAAAGGGAUAUUCUACAUGUUAUUUAGCCCUUUAACGUGUUUUAAUAAACGAAGAAACUAAACGAUCGAUGAAUUAUUUACGGUGUGAUCGCGUAUUUGAGUCUAAACUAUCGAGCACUUACCACUAAGUGAUCGUUUAAUAAAUACUAGGUGAUCACACACUUAUAAUAAUUUGUAAAAUUUUGGUUCAUUAAGAAGUUGCUUGAAGAGAAAUAAAACAAUUGAAUAGAUGAGGAUAAGAAAGUAAAUUCACAUUAUAAAAUGUUGCUUAUAAUAAAAUUUGGGAAAAAGUAUUUACUAUUUGGUCACUUUGUGAAAUUUGAAAACUUCUUGAAACCAAACAAACUAAUAAUUGAAAUGCAUUUUUAGAAUGAAAACUAAACUAAAUUUUGAUGAAGUUUAAGUUCUAACAUAAUUUGAAUGAUUAAGGUUUAAAUCUUCCAUUACAAAAUAUGAAUCUAUACAUAUUGUUUAUGGAGAGAAAGGGAAAAAGAAAAGGAAAAAGUUUCAUUACAAAAUCCUCAAUUUAUGAGUCUAGGAAAAGUUGAAAGAAAAAAAAUUCAACAAACCAACAUUGAAACAAUGCAAACAAGCAAUAUAACAAAAAUGAUAGCCCAAACCCAAUACACCCAUUUCUUGUUCUUCCUCUUCAUCUGCUUCGCAUAAUAAAGGCUUCGAGUUCCACCAUUGAUGAACUGCCCAGCUUUCGCCACAUUCUCUUCAAUAUCCUCGAUUUUUUCCCCUUCACUCUCAACCAAAAUCGCCAUAUCCAAAAACACCUGAUGAAGCUUAUUCAAACUCCUCUGUAUAUCCAUCACUGACUCGUGCCUCACUCGAUCCUCUGACUCGGUCUCACUCAAUUUCCCUCCUAACAUUUCCAAUUUCAAACUCCCAGACAUAAUCUUCUCCACUUGUUCUUCACUGGGUUGUUCCCCAGUUGCACUAAAAUACCUUCUUCUCAGAUCUUCCUUAUGAUCCGCCACAACUUUUUCUCUCAACCCCUGAAACUCGUUCAUCAUUUCUCUCAAUUUCACUCUCAAUCCGUUCGUGAUUGAAGUUCUUGUCCUGUCCACGAUGGUUCCUUCGCCGUACGCGACGGAGAUCAGGCGGUUGGCGGUGUUGGAUUGGUCGAGAGAGGCCAAUUUUUCUUUGAGGAUUCUUGCUCUGCGGAGGGUUGAAACCAUAUCGGAGUCGAUUCUGUCUCUUAAUCCACGGAGGAUUUUGGCGUUGUGGGUUGAUUUGGCUUCUUGAUUUAGUUUCUGAAUGUCAACUAAGAGAUUGGUUGUCUCUUCCAUUUGGGUCUUGAUUUCAUCGACUUUUUCGAAAAACAGAGACAGGUUCUGUUCUUCCGUCGGAUUCAGUUUUUGGCCACCGGAUUCAAUGUCGAAGCCGUGGCCGCCACCGCCUACAGCUUCCCUCUGCGCCUGUUUCUUCAGUUCUACAUAACUUAAGAACGAUUUCGUCAUCAAGUCGUUCAUCUUCGCCGAUUUGAGUAUGUUCUGCAAGAUUCAAGAAUAAAUUUAAAAGGACCCAGAAAGAAAUGAAAAAGAAAAAGGAAGAGAAAGGUACCUUGAAUGGGUGGGUGGUUUCAGAAAUUCAGAAGAAAUUUGAAUUUUGGGAGAGUUUUGAGCAGAGGGAGAAAUUUGGUUAGACGUUUUUGGGUUUAAAAAUGGGAAUGGGGAUUUGAAAUUUGGUUAAGUUGAAGAAAUAGCCGUUGCUUCAUGCAAGACAGUUACUCCUCCAUGAUCGGUCGGGCAGUUACGUUAGACGUCGAUAAAACGUCGACGAACAUUGCCACAGUUAAAUUUAUUUAGUUAAUGGAAUUUGAUAGAUAAAUUUAUUUAAUUAAAUAAUGGAAUUUGAUUGUGUGAUUAUGGAUUUUUUUUGUACAUUAUCAAUGUUCUUUUAUUGGGAUUUUUUUAUUAAAAAACUACUAAUGAAUUUUUAUCUAGAAAAAGAUGGGUUGAAUUUAUGAAUAAUUUCUCUGAUUAGUUUACAAGCUUUUUUUUACUGCCCACGCUCUACUUUAUUUAUUAUUAUUAUUUUGUAACCCAAUUCUAAUUGAACCUAAUGGUUAAAUAUUGGUCGUAAGUUGUAAUUACAUCACUAAACUUUAAAACGUUAAAUUUAUAUAAUUGUGAGUGUUUUGAGCUGUUUUCACACACUACAACAAAGCCUAUCAUUGGCUAUAUUUGCAAAAAUUUAAAAAUAUUGCCACACAAUUGAUUACUAUUCCCAAGAUUUAAAAAAGUGAGAGCACUUUAUCUAAUGCAAGGCAUACCGUUUUGAAAUGAGGAAAAAUAAAAUACUAAACCAUGAACGAGUAUGAAAAGUGUACCAUUGGUGUAAGAAUGACUUUGUUUUUCUUGUCAUUGGUAUUAAAAUGAUACAUUUGGAGUUUUGGUUUCUCUUCACCCUAUUUCAAUUGUCUCUCAACUGUGUCUGAAAUCUAUAUCUCUAUCUCUGCAUAUGAAACUUUUUAGCCAAUCCAGUUAUUGCUCUAAUGAAAUUAUCUCACUUCCUUCUAAAUCCAUAUCUUCAACAGCCUAUGAAGAAAAAGAUUCUAUCAAGAACUUGUGAAGCUGUAAUGAGUAUAUAUCAGGGUACGUCCUGUAAUGGUCAACAUGUGGUGACGUGCCGAAGUUGUACGAAAAAACCUUCCUUCCUGUCAUCAUCCUCUUCUUGAUCAGUAGCUCGAUUGACGUGUAAGGUACAACUUUAUCUCCUGAACUGUACAGAUAAAGCUCAGGAUAUGGAGGUUGGUUCUCUGUAAGAACUGAAACAAUGUUGUUCAAUCUCCUGCAAGGAAAUGUUAAUUUCUCAAUAAUCAAUAUGCAACUAUUACAAGAUAGAAGAAAGUGACAUUAUUCGAGGUGUGUAUAAGCUGACCGAAGCACUCACAGAUAUAAAAAAAUGCAACCAUAUGACAUGUGCAUGCCCAUUCAAUCAUUCGAUCCUCAAGCGAAUAUGUAUCCAUGUCUGGAUAUAAUCAGAAUUAGAAAGCUUACUUAUCAACAUCUGGCAACUUCAAAGCAACAGAGAAGAACUUCUCCAAUGAUGAUAGGAAAAUUGUUUCCAACAAAAGAGGUUUCUUGUCUAUUUCCUCUCCAUUUACCAUUGGAGAUGCAGAAGAACUAUUUUUCUUGAGAAUGGCUGCAGAAAAUCCAGCUGCCCAAACCUGCCAUUGUUUGUAGUAGAGAUGGAAUCAUAUCUCUUCUAUUAUGAAUGAGAAUAAAAUGGAAAGUAAAAUAUAUUGGAUGAAACACACCAUCUAAUUCAGAAUGGAUAAGUGUCUGCUAGCUAUUAUUAUAUUAUUGUCUCAAUGCUUAAACAACCUAACUAGUUCUAACUGUUUGCAUAUGGUUCAAUAGUUCAUGACAAAAAAAAAAAAAAAAAAAGUUAAAACCAAAAUUUCUGAUUUUGAAACUAUUUAGAAGCCCAAGUAAAAAAUGGGAGUUGGAAAUUUUCAUGAAAUCUUGGGUAAAUGAUCAUAUAAUCAAGAACACUUCCAGAUUCAAUCAUUACCAACAGGCCUUUAGAACUAGGAAAGAAGGAACAGAGAGAUAAGGAGAUACACCAAAAGGAAGAUUGAGGUUGAGAUCAAAUGAUAUUUGAAGGGCAAUAGCCAGUUCCUACUAGACUUCCACCUCUAAAUCCUACAUUACGAUGCAAACUUCAAAGAUGAAUAGGAGUUCGUUAACUUGCAGAUGUUUUUCCAACAGUUAAAAGAAAGCAGAUAAUAGUUUAGAACUGAUUUUCAUAUCAUUGUUGAAGCACGGUUCCAAGAUUCUUCUACAACUAUAAUUUCACAAACCUGCGGAUUCAACGGAUCACCUCCUCCAGAAUCAACGAUGCACCCUUUAAUCUUCUCCAACAAAUCUUUCCGCCCUUGCAAGAUUUCAAGAAUGGCUCCAUAUCUGCAGGAAACAAGAAAAUGAAACAAAGCUAAUUCUGUGUUAAAAUCACAAAGAACAACUGAAAUAAGAUACCGAUAACAAAAUUCAACAUACACAAACCAGCCCGUGUUGCUAAAAGUAUGAAAAAUCAGGGAUCGAUCUUUAUCACUCUCUUCCCCUUCCGAUAACCAAGAAAUGAGUUCAACCGCCAAAUCCGAGAUCCGCUGCUCAACUUUCCGACUCAAAGCGAACCAAAGAAACUCUCUCGGAUCUACAAUAAACGUCAAUGCGUUGAUACCCCUCGCAUUGUACCACUCCACAUACCUCCUCAGAUGCUUAGUCUUUGCCCCAAGCCAACCUAACAAAACAACGGUCGCCGCCCCCUUUUCGCCCCGCAAAACUCCUACGUUGUUUCCAAUUGCACUCUCUGAAGCUCGAUUCCAAGUCCAGUCACUUCCGUUUGAGUCGAAUAGAAAUGAACUGAAGUAAUCAGACGCAAAUUGAGAGCCGAAAGACUGUAAUGAGGGUAAAGAAUAAAGAAAAUUAGAAGGGAUGGAGCCAAGAGAAGAUGCGGAAGAUCCAAAGGAAGAGGAGCAGCAGUGAGAAAGAUUAAGUGAGAGUGAAAUUUUGGAACCGAGGUUUUUGCGAGAAGGAGAAAAGUGGAAAUAGGUUGAAGAUUGCCGGAAAAUCGCGCUCCGAUAGGAUUCAGGAGAUGAAACGAGGCGAGAUUGAGGAAUUGUUUUUGAGAAGAGACCGCGAUUAAGAACGCAGGGGCGAAAUGCUCUAACUGGAGCCUCCAUGGUGGCAGUUCCGGCGACGACUUUGAGAAGAUUAGGUAGUGCUUCUCCAAAAUUUCCGGCCACAACCAAAGCCAGUUUCUGAACUAUGGCCGAAGUCGGAGAAGGAUUUUUUUUCCCGGAAAGCUGCGUUGGAGGCUGAAGGGUUUAUUUAUUUAUAUUUAAAUUACACCUUUGGUCCUUUUUGGAAGAUAAUUACACCUUUGAUCCUACACUUUGUACUUAUAAGCAAUAGAGUCCCAAAUAUUUGAAAAAUAUUAUAUAAUAAGUUCUUGAUGUUCUUCUAAUCAUAUGCCUAAUAUAUAUAUAUUGAAUACAAAAUUUUGCUUUUGAAGAAAAAAAUUAUUUUUUCUAUUUUGCAUAAAUAAAUUGUUUGUUCAAUCCAAAGAGCGAAUAUAGCUUUAACUCAUCUAAAGCAUAUAUAUCGAAGAGUUAUUUAUAAACAUUAUCGUAUAUUCAAGAUGUACUGAGGUUGAUUUUAGAUUGAUAUUUGUACAUAUUUAUAUUAUAAUUCAUAUAUGUAACUGUAAUCAAAUAUAUAUUGAAAGAGCGAAUAUAUAUUAUAUCAAACCUACAUUAAGGCAACUAUUUUUAAAAUAUUUUGUAGCCUUUUUAAAUUCCCUUCUUCUUAUUUGUUUGAUAUUAUUUUUUUGCAAUUCUUCUUUUUCCAUGUUUGUUAUCUUCAUCUUCUCAUAUUUUUUUUAAAUUAUGAUAUUUGUUUUUUAUCAAUCAUCAAUUUUGUAUUGUUUUUUUGAAAUGUUAUUGGGUUCAAGAUCAUGUAUCAAUAUCAAAUAGUUGGAUAUUAAUACACGAUCAUGUGUCAAAUAUAAAUUUACAUAAUCGUGUACCAAAUAUAAAAUUUAAAAUAAUCUACAAUUUUAUAUUUGGUAUUUAGUACUUGUUGGCGAGGAUCGUUUAGAUUUGAAAAGACUUAUGCACCUGUAGUCAAUUGAUUGUGUGUUAACUGAUAUUUUUUUUUUUUUGUAUUUUUCACUGUGCGUGGUGAGUUUUUUUGUUUUCGAAAUUAGUUUGCAUGACAUCCCAAAUUUUCACGUAUUUAUGGCAACUUAGUUUUCAAUUUUUUUAGGGAAGAAGGAAAUAAUUUUAAAAAGGAAAAGAAAAUAGAAGGAAAAAUUAAAAAAAUAGUAGAUUUUACAAAAAUAUUUACAACUACAGUAAAUUCUAUCGUUCAUAGUUGAGUUGAUAUGUUAUACGAUAUCACUAAUAUAAAAUUCAAAAUUCUGUUGUAAAUAAUUUAAUUCGUUAUUUUUAAAAAUGCUUCAAAAUAAAAAGUAUAAAUAAUUAUGAUAUAAUAAUAAUAAAAAUAAUAAUUAUUAUUAUUAUUAUAUUUAUUUUAUUAUAGAUUUUUUUAAAAAAAGAGAGAGAAAUCGCGUGCCCCGUUCUUCUUCCUCCAUCUUCAACCCUCAGCCGCCGCCUCCCCUAUUUUUCCCUUUCCCUUCUCUUUUUUCCGUUCGAAUCCACCGCCGACCGCGAUUCGUCUCUGUCUUCCAUUGAAGCCGAAGCGUCGUCGUCGUUGGUUCGAGCCGCCGGCGUCGCUCCCAUCUCAGCUUUCUGUUUUCGACCGCGUCCCGUCUCCGUUCCCGCAGCCGAAACGUUCUGUUUCGUCCGCGAAGCCCAGUCGCCGCCUCCUUCUUCGCUUUCGGUCAGGCUCCGUCACGUCUCCCUUAGCCGACCGACCCAGUUUUGCCUUCCUUCGCGUCCGACCGCCGUGAAUCUUGGAGUGCCGCCGCAUCUCUUUCGUUGGCCGACCGUGAAGCAGCCACGCGCGAUUUCCCUCUUCCAGCCGCGAGUUGCAAGCCAACCCACGCUCAGAUCUGUUGCACGCUCUCCUUCGUGUUACUCUCUAACGGCAAGGCAGAAGCGGCCAUCGGUUUCAUGCUUGGGUAAGAACAAAUUUGUCGGUUUCGUUGCUUUUUGUAAUUUUGAAUUUAAUUAUUUAAGAAAUAGUCUUUUAACUCGUAGCAGUUAUAUAUGAUAUUAGUCUCAAUAAAUUUCACAAAACUUAUAAAUUGAUCUAUAUAUAUUAAAUUAUUUUAAUACUCAUUUAUGUUAUUUAAUUGAUUUAUAAUAAUUAUCUAAAUAGAAAGAAUGAUUGAGCCAAAU